This is a long non-coding RNA of Haliotis rufescens (red abalone), 464 nucleotides long. RefSeq lists it as uncharacterized. The record is from RefSeq and is a predicted model, not a curated record. The transcript has 3 exons. Lineage: Eukaryota; Metazoa; Mollusca; Gastropoda; Lepetellida; Haliotidae.
CAAAAUGGCGACCAGGAAGUGAAUUGUAGAAAUGAUAACGACGAUGUUAGCUGUUUGUAAGCAAAAUGUGAUAUGUCAUGGGAUACCUUAUCAGCCCGUGGAUACAUAAGGUUGGCAUAGACGCCUUAAGUCCAAGUGUGGUGAAAAGGAACUGAACCUGUACCGAUUGAUCUCCGCCCUUCACCGCAAAGCAAAGCUGCUACCUACCCAGGCCACAAUGCUGCACGAAAAAAAGUUGACAAGCCAGGCGUAUUGUGCCCUUAAACCUACUAUGGUCUUAAGCCUGCACUAUUCAUGAGUGGGCGUGGCUUAUGUAUGCACGUGACACUAUCUUUGGCAGGGCUGGUUGACCUCUCCGAAAGCAUCCCUGACUCAUCUGUCGUCGCGAUGUUUCACUCACAAUCUCCACAUCAGCAACAAUGGGCGACUUGCUCGGCUCCUCAAGGCAGAUGGUCAGUGUGCAC